GAUGAACGCUGGCGGCGUGCCUAAUACAUGCAAGUCGAGCGAACAGAUGAGAAGCUUGCUUCUCUGAUGUUAGCGGCGGACGGGUGAGUAACACGUGGGUAACCUACCUAUAAGACUGGGAUAACUCCGGGAAACCGGGGCUAAUACCGGAUAAUAUUUUGAACCGCAUGGUUCAAUAGUGAACGACGGUUUCGGCUGUCACUUAUAGAUGGACCCGCGCCGUAUUAGCUAGUUGGUAAGGUAAUGGCUUACCAAGGCGACGAUACGGAGCCGACCGGAAAGGGUGAUCGGCAACACUGAAACUGAGACACGGUCCAGACUCCUACGGGAGGCAGCAGUAGGGAAUCUGCCGCAAUGGGCGAAAGCCUGGCGGAGCAACGCCGCGUGAGUGAUGAAGGUCUUCGGAGCGUAAAACUCUGUUAUUAGGGAAGAACAAAGUUGUUAGUAGCUGAUCAAGUCUUGACGGUACCUAACCAGAAAGCCACGGCUAACUACGUGCCAGCCGCCGCGGUAA
RNAcentral lists this ribosomal RNA (514 nucleotides) under uncultured bacterium. RNAcentral describes it as "partial 16S ribosomal RNA". It matches the Rfam family "Bacterial small subunit ribosomal RNA", at positions 28 to 523 of the family's 1533-position model. The record is from RNAcentral.